Molecule: long non-coding RNA, 1723 nt
Organism: Glossina fuscipes
Lineage: Eukaryota; Metazoa; Arthropoda; Insecta; Diptera; Glossinidae
Exons: 4
Source: RefSeq, a predicted model, not a curated record
AAAUGAAAGGUUUUUUUCUGUCACAGAAAACAAAAAAAAAAAUAAAAAAAAAGAAGAAACUGUUCUAUGUAAGUUUAGAAAAAUAGAGUUUCGAAUGUGCAGUUACGGAAUAUACCUCCAAAGAAAUUAAAAUUCGUCAAUAUAAACGAUCAAAAGAUUGGAAACGAAAUUGAUGCAAUAAGUGGUUAUUGAGGAGAAGUUGAACUGAGAACUCAUAAGAGGCUUAAGGGCACGGCCACAGUACCACGUAAACUGAGAAUGCCUAUGUUAUGAGGAUAAUUUCCUUACUUGUUAUAUCUUGAAUGAUUAAUAUCAUUACACACUCUCGCUUUCAUUGAUAAAGCGUAACGGAGCAACAAAUAAAAACUCAUCAGUCUACUGAUGUAUUAGUCUUAUCGCUAACUGAUCUAAUCCACCUUAUCCAACAAAACAAAAAAAAAGAUAAAUAAAAUGUUGUUAUUAAAUAAACAAGUAAUGUUGAGAAAUAUAUAUACAUCGAGAGGAAUGGUUACUUUCCUUACAUUGUGUUAUAUGGCAGUGAAGGAGCAUCGUUAUUGGUGAUUUACGUUGCUCGCAAAUGUCUUGGUAAAUGAUUUUAUACGUUUAUCAGCAUUAAAAUAUACAUAUUGUUAUAAGUAGAUAUCUAGAAGAGUUUUCCAAAAGAGGUUUUAGAAUAAAUUUUAGGUAAAUUUGUUGUGAGUGAUGGCACAAGAAUAAUCUAUAUGCCUGCAAUGAUCUAUUUAGCCCUUACUUUUAAGUUGCUGGGAUCUGGGUGCUGUUAAUGGCUGGCGAGUAAUGAUUUUUACUUAAGCGUUGCACAGAGCACCGCUUCUGUAGAUGUAGCGGAAAUUACCCAAGAAAUGGAGUAAAAACUUGGUGCAAAUGUUUUCGGUGUGGUAUUAGCGCCAACACAAAGUAGUUAUUCUAUAGGGAAUUUGGUGUUCCUGAUGACCCGCGCAGAAUCAAAACCGAAAGGGCGAGCGUAGCCGCAAUGAGAUGAUGCGUUAAUUUAUAUACACAUGUUUUUCCCAUAUGCAUACGAAUAUUUUAUUCGUAGGGUUUACGACUAUGUGAAACUUAUGGAAGUAAACUGUCGACUUUCUGGAUCAAGGCAUCUUAUUAUGACGAUAACAUCGACAUUUCGCUAGCUUUCAUGUCCUUGCGACGCUUUAUUUCAUAGCAAACGAUGAUUGAAAUAUUCGCAAUAUACAUUGAAGUGAUUGGAUGCGUACACGGAAUCCAGAUUUUCGGAAGCCCGCACGAGAUGAAGAACGUUUCAUAACCAAAAAGAUGACGAAGGCCAUACAUAACUCUCUAUGAAAUGGUUAUCGAGGAUCGCCUUUCAAAAGGGAGCUAGUUAGCCAAACGAUACAUAAUAAGUGUUCAUAAGUUGAAGUGCAAAAAAAAAAAAUGCAAUUUGUAACGAAAAAUAAAAAAGCAUUUGCAUAAUGGAUCAAAUUAACUGUAAAUUAUUAAUGCAUAAUUUUAAUAUAACAAAUAAUUCAUUCGAAUUUCAAAACUGUUCAGUCGUCUGACAGAGUUAUAUGAUUUUUAAAUGAUUGUGCGCAGAAUAGUUUUUUUUAUAAAGAUUGUAUGUUUUGGGAAUUUCUUGCAAUUAUUUGUUGUCAUGGAGUAUAGUAGUAUCGGCGCAAAAUUUUUUGUUGUUUUUUUAUAUAAUGCGUAUAUAUAUAUACAUUUAUAUUCUUAUAAUUAAAAAAAAAAU